GUGUCAGCCGCCGCGGUAAUACGUAGGUGGCAAGCGUUGUCCGGAAUUAUUGGGCGUAAAGCGCGCGUAGGCGGGAUAUCCAGUCCACUUUCAAAGUGCGGGGCUCAACCCCGUGAUGGGGUGGAAACUGAUAUUCUUGAGUGCAGGAGAGGAAAGCGGAAUUCCCAGUGUAGCGGUGAAAUGCGUAGAGAUUGGGAGGAACACCAGUGGCGAAGGCGGCUUUCUGGACUGUGUCUGACGCUGAGGUGCGAAAGCCAGGGGAGCGAACGGGAUUAGAUGCCCCGGUAGUCCUGGCCGUAAACGAUGGGUACUAGGUGUAGGGGGGGUCAAACCCUUCGGUGCCGGAGUUAACGCAAUAAGUACCCCGCCUGGGGAGUACGGCCGCAAGGUUGAAACUCAAAUGAAUUGACGG
This 412-nucleotide ribosomal RNA is filed under the name uncultured bacterium. Its description in RNAcentral is "bacterial SSU rRNA". It matches the Rfam family "Bacterial small subunit ribosomal RNA", at positions 505 to 916 of the family's 1533-position model. The record is from RNAcentral.